This is a non-coding RNA of Aegilops tauschii subsp. strangulata, 1337 nucleotides long. Lineage: Eukaryota; Viridiplantae; Streptophyta; Magnoliopsida; Poales; Poaceae. The record is from RefSeq and is a predicted model, not a curated record.
CCACACUCGUGCCGCCCCCUUUCAUCUUCCUCCUGCCUCACCUCUCUCUCCCCCUCGACCCGCGCCCGCGACCCUCGUCCUGCCGCCGCCGCUGCCGGGACCCUCGUUCCUCUUCUCGCCGUCGCCUCCGCCGCCGAGCAGUGAGCGAGAGUAGCGAGAGGAACAACGAGCCAGCGUGCAGCCAGCCUUUCAUGGCCUCCGCCCUCUCUCUCUUCCCCACCCCUCUCCCCUCACCACAAGACAAGAGAGGCAGGGAGAUCGACCAAGCAGAUCAGGCGGCGACCGGCCAUGGGACGGGAGGGCGCCCAGAUCCAUCCGCCCCGAUCCGGCCAUGGGACUAGACUCAAAAUCGAGAGCAAGCCGCCGUGUGUCUCCUUCCUUCUGCUUGAUGGGGCCAUGCCUAGGAGGAAGGAAGGAUGAGAAAGGAAGAGGCUGCCGGUGCGCGAGGUACGACGUUGGACUCGACGGGGAUGGCUGCUCCUCCCAAGGAACUGUAUCACAACGGAUCAUUGGCAUUGUAGCUUCAGUGGACAUGUAUGCUGAAUAUCCCCUCAGUGGACAAGAUUAGAUUUUAGUGUAUACAAGCCCUCCUCUCAGCUGCUCAGGCAUAAACACCUUACUGCAAAUGUUCUUCGUGUCUCGCCUCCUCGUCGUGAUGGGUGGCUCCUAUAGCUUCGCCAUGCCAACCAUCUCCACGAGGUUGCUGUGCUUCUGGAUGAGAGGGAUAGCCAUGAGGCAAGGAGCAGCAAGGUCUCAUUUUCUUCCCCAGUUUUUACUCCUCGAUUUAUGGUUUUUCUAAACACAUGUGUGCAGGUCUGAGAGAAAAGGAGAAGGGGAUGAAUCUUGAGGAAGUGCUUGGUGAAUAAAAAGAUGAUGUUCCUGAUGGCAAUGUUGGUAAUUAAUGAUGAAAAAGAAGGAAGUGAGAUUGGAUUUGUACUAGAACAACGCCUCCCCAAGAUCUGGACCGGAUGCCAUCGCGUGGCGUGAUUCCGGAUCGGGAUCAGAUUGCCGCCAUAUUUAUCUCUCUGUUUUCAGAGCCCCUCCCUAUUGCUAUCUCCCGCCUGAGUUUGCGUCACUGUUAUGCAUUGUCUCUCCGUUCACGCCUACUCUUGACAGGAGCAGCACAGGCUGCCACACAACACGCUUACUUGGGACGGACUGCAGGUGCCCUCUAAUAUGGGUAGUGAGGAGUUCAAUUUUUCUAUACAAUCUCUAGGAGUUUAAUUAGGUAGCCUCUAAUAUGGGCUCUUGUGAAGGAAAUAUGCCCUAGAGGCAAUAAUAAAGUUGUUGUUUAUAUUUCCUUAUAUCAUGAUAAAUGUUUAUUAUUCCUACUAGAA